RNAcentral lists this long non-coding RNA (3828 nucleotides) under Canis lupus familiaris (dog). RNAcentral describes it as "lncRNA (ENSCAFG00845013027.1)". The record is from RNAcentral. Lineage: Eukaryota; Metazoa; Chordata; Mammalia; Carnivora; Canidae.
AUGUGGUUAAAAUACGUAUCUGUGUAUCUUAUGUGUGUCAGGAGUGUGUGUUAUGAUCGAAAUCUGACACCACAAGUGUUUCCUCACCUUCCUAACAGUCCCUCCCUCUUCCAGCAGAGAACCCCAUUCCUUGAAACACUGGGGAGCCUACUCACGCUGCCACCCUACCACACAAAAUCGUUUUGUCACAAUAUCACCAGUGCAACUUCUGAAAAAUCAACCUACUGGAAGACUCGGUGCUUCAUCCUGGCCUACGUGGAGGAGCUCCCCUGUGCCAGAAAAGGUAAAACCAUCACGUGGAUCAUCCCACCCACACUCAGAGGAGAUGACAUCAUGUAAGGGUGAGAGUCCUGGAGUCACUGAGGUGGGACUUCCAGAGUGCGCUGUCCUUCCUCAGAGCCUCAUAAUGACGUGGUAACAAAUUCACUGGGCUGCCCUGGUGUUGCUGUGAUGUCCUCCCCCCUCCUGCUCCCGGAGACUCAGGCCACUGGCCCUGCUCACCUGCCCCUUGGCUUCUUUCAAUUUGUUCCCAAAGUCUCUGAGUUACUUUGGUGCCAGAAUGUCUUUUGGAAAAACACAUCAAGGACAGAACGUGAAAGGAAUGGUACAGAAAUAAAUAAAUGAAGUUCUAUAGAAGAGGGAGGGAGCAGUUGCCAGGCACUCCUCGCCCCUCCAGCAUCGCACCAAUGGUGGCGCUGCCUUUGCUGCCCACCAGUGACAUCCAUCAGAGACUCAGCAGUGCUUCGGACAUGCAUAUCCUGACGGCCUGGCGGUCUUACAAGUGUCAUGAAAGUGCACACGAAGGUUUGAACCUCCUGAUUCGCAUGAUUUUGUGGGAAUUUAUUGGUCCAUUGGAUGGUGAACCAUUUUCAGAGAUCAUGUCUGGUAGCUUCUGGGAAGAGGACCAGUAACUUAUUCUCAAGUGACAGUUUGGUUGGGCUUAGGACUUUUUGUUUUUUAAAGCUGUUUCACAUAAAAAAAAUAAAAUAAAAUAAAAACUUUUUUUGUAAAAAAGAAUCAGACAUUUAGAAGAGGGGUGUGUGGUUUCCGUAAGUUGUAUAUGGGACAAAUCUUGUUCGCGGGAUUAUUGUGAGCGACGCUCACCAGGAAAGCACUUUGAUGUAUGGUAAAAACUUUAUUCAGACUUGCAAAAACAAUAAUGUUAAAAUAUAAAUCUAAUUCCGGGAGCCCCUGGGUGGUUUAGCCGGUGAAGUAUCUGCCUUCAGCUCAUGUCAUGAUCUCAGGGUCCUGGGAUGGAGCCCGGGGAUGGAGAUCUGCUUCUCCCUCUACCUGCUGCUCCCCCUGCUUGUAUUCUCUCUCUCUCUCUGUCACUCUCUCUCUCAAAUAAAUAAACAAAAAUAAAAAUAAAAAUUUACAUCUAACUCCUUUACAGAGUUCACAAUCACACAAAAAUUUGUUUUUAAUCCAAAGGAAGUUUGUUUUCACAAACAUUUUAAGUUAGAACUUAAUUGCUAAUUCCAUUCCUUAUAAUCCAACUGAGCCCAUUUGUAGGAUCUGGGACCAUUUGGAAAGUGUUUCUAUGACAGUAUUAGGUAUUUCCCUGGGAUCCUCAGCCUGGGGACUUAUCAUAAGUCUGCUGCCCCCUGGGGCCAUCGCAUCAGCCACCAGGUCCUGCACGGCCGAGGGGCCUUUCAGCUGCCAGGUCUCUGAGUGGUGCCCCAUAGGGCCCUGGAUUAGGUUGGUACUUGGUGUUGUUACCAGUACAGUAAUCUGAGAGCCAGGUGUGGCUGGCUGGCCAUUUACAGAUGAGGACACUGAGGCUUCCAGAGAUUUAAAUUAAUGGUCCAAUGCCACACAACUAGUUAGUGGCUGAGGUGGCUUCCUCUGCAGUUCUGUGACACCGAGUCCAUCUGCUAUGCUACUUUUUAGAGACUGACCAACGAAGUUUUAUUUUCUGGGCAGACUUUGGCAGGUGAACACAGGCUUGUUGAAAAUUCCUUCUAUUCAUUAUGCCCUGCAUCUUUUUUAAAAAUUUAUUUUUAUUUUAAAAAAUAUUUAUUUGAGAGAGAGAGAGAGAGAAAGAGAAAGAGAGAGAAAGAGAGAGAGAGAAUGAGCAGAGUAGAGGGGCAGAGGGAGAAACAAACUCCCCGCUGAGCAGGGAGCCUGAUGCCGGGCUCAAUCCUAGGAUCCUUAGAUCACGACCUGAGUUGAAGGAAGAUGCUUAACCCACUGAGCCCCCCAGCCACCCCAAUAGGUAUCUAAGAAAGCUUAUUGUCAGACUGAUGUUAGAUUUGUGGCUUAGGCUGCUAGCAUGACCCUGAGGGAGUCGUUUACCUGAUGGCGGCAGGCAGGAUCGGCAAACAUCUCUCCCCACCCCGAGGUCCAGCCAGUGUCAGGUACGCAGGCCCGCCUGCUAGCCUGGUUCCGUGGUUUGGUUCAGCACAUCUCCCCAACGUCCUGCUCUCUGAGUCACAUGCACGCCCCAGAGGUAACAGUGUCAACGAGUCUGCUGCUUCUGAGUGCAGCUGUGAGGCUCAGCUCUGGGUCAGGUGUGGCACCCAGAGCAGCCAGGCAGUCAUGUGGUUCAGCAAACCUGUCAGCCCCAAGUCCAAGGUGAUACUGGUCCCUUGUUCAGACCCACAGGACAUGUCUGGGUCCUGCCUCAGGACUUUGUGAUGUAUGGCACUCUCAUGGUCUCCUGGAACUUCCUGUGUGAGGUCAGCUAGUUAGUGGACACCUGUGCAUUGUGUCCAAUAGGGAACCAGAUAAGCUGCUUCCAGUCCUCGCACAUUCUAUGUUUUAGAUGUUUUCACAACACACAGUACAGGGCUGUCUCUGAGAUAUACAUCUCGUUGGAUCAGUCCCAUUUGCCCUGUCUGGGGACAACUUCUGGACUUGCUGUCAUCAGGCAGGGCCCAAAUGAAUGAGCGUGGGUGCCUCUUUGAGCUGGGGAGGCUGUUUUGCGGCUUGAGUGGUGGCUGGGGCAGGCAGGGUACUGCAGGGAGGAGGUCACGAGGGGCACAGGUGCCGUGACACCUGGAAGCCAAUGGGACAGUGUGGACUGCCCAAAAGUAAACCCACAGGUACAUAGCUAAUUGAUGGUGGACAAAGCAGCCAAGAUGAUUACAUGGGGGAAGGAUAACCUAGUUCACUGGAACAAACUGGAUAUCCAUCCAGGGAAAAAAGAGCUAUGACCUUAUUUCAUAGAUCUUGGACUUAAACCCAAAAGUUACAAUUAUAAAAUUUCCAUAAGAAUAUGGGAAAAAAAUCUUUGAAAUUUUGGGUUAAGCAAGAUUUCUUAUGACACCAAAAGCGCAAAGCGAAAAAAAAAAAAAAAAAAAGCUACACUGAACUUCAUCGAAUUAGAAUUUCUGCUCUUUGAAAGACACCAGUAAGAGAUAAAAACGACUCGAGGCACCUUGGGGGUUCUAUCGGUGAAACAUCUGCCUUCGGCUCAGGUCACAAUCUCGGGGUCCUGGGAUCCUGAUCUAGAUACUUACCAAAGAGAAAUGAGAACAAAUGCUCAGAAAGGGACUUGAGUCCAUGAACGUUGAUAGCAGGCUUAUCCCUAAGAGCCGGGCCAGGGAACAACCCACAUGCCUAUCAGGAGGGAAAGGUGUAGACAAACAGCGGAUGCUGCUCAGCAUUGAGGAGGACCCAUCAACAAUGUGGUCCCGUGAAUACUUCUCAGGGGUAUCAUCUGAGAAGUUUGCAGACACAAGAGACACCUCAGGUUCGUGCUGUCUGAUUUCGUUUUUUUGGCACCAGGAACCCAUGAGAAUCGGAAAGUAGAUCAGUGGUUGCCAGAUGCAGGGAAGAUGGUGUAGCUCAAUCUGGUGGUACUUGUGCGAGUUUAUACACUUGUCU